Molecule: long non-coding RNA, 263 nt
Filed under: Prunus persica (peach)
Lineage: Eukaryota; Viridiplantae; Streptophyta; Magnoliopsida; Rosales; Rosaceae
Description: long non-coding RNA (PPER_LNC008331)
Source: RNAcentral
UUGUGCUCUUUCUCGAAAUAAUUUGAUCUGUAUUCAAGUCUACUACAUGCACGUGAAUGACAAUACUACUACGAUUCUCCACAAUAAAAAUUUUGACGUAAAGAGACUAAAAUAAAAUAAUGUAAAUUGAUGGAGCACUUUUUGAACAUGUAGAACUAGAGACACAAUGACAAUGUGCUCAAUCCCCUAAACCCCCUUUUACCAAAUUCUCACAUGAGAUUAACGUCUCAAAGACCGCUUUCCCAUACAAAUUUUGUUAUUAU